ACAGAAAUCUAUCACUGCUUUUUAGGAUAAGCUUGACUUUUGUUCAAAUAAAAAUGCAAAAGGAAAGUGUAUCCUAAAAGGCAAUGACAGUUUAAUGUGUUUCUGACAU
This 109-nucleotide microRNA precursor is filed under the name Gorilla gorilla (western gorilla). RNAcentral describes it as "microRNA ggo-mir-651 precursor". Its record names the gene ggo-mir-651. The stretch from base 7 to 92 matches the Rfam family "mir-651 microRNA precursor family". Lineage: Eukaryota; Metazoa; Chordata; Mammalia; Primates; Hominidae. RNAcentral also lists the same sequence under 1 other name. The record is from miRBase by way of RNAcentral.